CUGCAUUCCUUAAAGAGCAGAAUAAAGGAUCGAGUUAGACUGGCCUUCUCAACACCUUGGCAAAAGCCCCCUUGGGUCUCGUUUCGCUGGGAUGACUAUUUAUAUGACAGGGUGACUGGUUACAGCCCAAUCAUAAGAAUGACGGGACAGAAUAAACAGCGCCAGACCCAUGAAGGAGCGUGGUGGACCAGACCUGCCCUUCUAUAUGGGACAACACGGUGCCAAUGCCAUCCUGAAGCAUGGGCUGUAGCUGGAGCACUUGACAUG
This is a long non-coding RNA of Bombina bombina (fire-bellied toad), 267 nucleotides long. RefSeq lists it as uncharacterized. NCBI's taxonomy places the organism in Eukaryota, Metazoa, Chordata, Amphibia, Anura, Bombinatoridae. The record is from RefSeq and is a predicted model, not a curated record. The transcript has 3 exons.